RNAcentral lists this unclassified non-coding RNA (444 nucleotides) under Carex rosea. Its description in RNAcentral is "partial external transcribed spacer". The record is from RNAcentral. Lineage: Eukaryota; Viridiplantae; Streptophyta; Magnoliopsida; Poales; Cyperaceae.
UUUGGUGCGGCCAACCGACAUGGGGCUGUCUCUUACUCUCCCUCCCGUCAUUUGAUUUGUCGGGGCUGGAAUGCUCGUAAUCGGUUGCCUGUGCGGCUUUUCCCUGGUGGGGGUAGCGAAGUUGUCCCUCGAUUGAUAUUUGCUUGCCUCUCUGACAUUUUUUUGUCGUUUUGGCAGCCGAAAUGAUGGCGAAAUCCCUGUGCAGGUGCGUGGUCGAAUGUCCCCGUAGCUGUAACUUGAAAUUUUGCUGGCUCUCACGGACGCAGUGCCCAGUGCUGGCUUUGCGUGGCUUUGCCCCGCAGACUUCGGGAGGUCCCUUGUACGAAUCACUGCGAUCAGAUGCCGUUUGUCGUGUUGCUUGUUUGGCACGCAAAUCGUAUUGUUCUGUCCGGAGUCGGGAUGACGAAAGUCAGAACGAAGUGUCUGGGGCGUGCUCGCGUACAC